Cucumis melo (muskmelon) is the source of this 1329-nucleotide long non-coding RNA. RefSeq lists it as uncharacterized. NCBI's taxonomy places the organism in Eukaryota, Viridiplantae, Streptophyta, Magnoliopsida, Cucurbitales, Cucurbitaceae. The record is from RefSeq and is a predicted model, not a curated record. The transcript has 6 exons.
CCCCAAAUUUUCAUUCCUUUCUCUUUCCAUACCACGAUCUUUUUUCUUUCCUCUUCCUUUCAUCACAAAAUCUCCAAAUGGUAUCAUCUAAACUGCAGCCCUAGCUCCCACCAUUGUACGUCGGACGACUCCAACUCCCACCGUCGCACGUCGGGUGGCUUUAACUCCGUCCAUCGCUGUAAGUUCGUGACUCCAUCCGUGACCCUACAUCUGCCGACGUGACUCCGCCCUGUCCUCGUUCUAACUCCCUCCACCGCCGCAAGUUUGUUCUCAUUUUGCUGCUGUGAUUUUGGUUUAGGAAUAUUUGUCUUCUGCAGAAAAUACCUUAAUUUUUUUAUAGCAGGAUACUUUUUAUAAGAUAGUAGUUCUUUGUUCUAUCUUGUUACUUGCAGCGUCUUGGUGCCCUAGCCAUAAAUAUUUCUUGUAAUAUUUCAUUUUGUCAAAAUGCAUAUUUAAGAAGUAUGUUUGCUAUGCUCUUGAUGUUCCAAUGUAUUUCAUAUAUCGGAAAAAGAAAUAUAUUGACUAUUCUGGAAUGUCCUUCAGGGAUUUUAUGGCAGGAAAGCUCCCACUAGUUCCUAGAGAACUUCCUACCCUAACUGAUUAGGAAAAUCAUUUGACUACAAUAUUUCCAGAGGUAUUCUACACUUGAUUUACUCCAACAAUAUGCUUGUUAUGACCUGAUUCUAGGAUCUAUUUUUCCCUCAUUACUGAGGUGAAACUGAAGAGAUAUUUGAAGAUGAGGGGUAGUGAUGGAGGCCCUUGGAGGAGAUUAUGUGCUUUCUUCCAGCAUUUUAGGAAGUUUUCUGUUCACUGAAGUCAUCAUUGACUAGUAUUGAAGCACUUCAGUAUGCUGAAUAUGAAAAACAAGUUUGUUCACUGCUGAUGGAUUGCAGACCCUAAUGAAUAAUCUUUAUACAUUUCUUUUGGUGAUGGAGACCAUAAUGGAUAUGUUAAAGAAGGAUGGAAAAACUCUCGAAGUCUACGUAGCAAUGCAAGUCGUGAGAUUGAUACAAGGACCUCAUAUAGUCAACUCGAGUUGGAUGAAGUAUGCAAAUGGAGCUCGUUGAUUUUUUGGGUGGCAACAUGUGAUUAUGGUGAUAGCUAAGUUCUUUUGGGUUAGAUAGACAAGUUUUGUUGACACUAGAUAUAGGUGAAUUUGUUUUGUUGAUAUUUUGUUGAUACUAGAUAUAGGUGAGAAAGACAAGUUUUGAUAUGGUACACCGUUAGGCUACAUAUAUAUUUUGUUUAUAUCGACAUAGAUGAAAAGUUUAAGUUAUUGUUAGAAGUUUGGGUUGCAUAUAUAUAUAUAUGUUGUAAUUUAGUAUGUAA